This is a small nuclear RNA of Ailuropoda melanoleuca (giant panda), 109 nucleotides long. NCBI's taxonomy places the organism in Eukaryota, Metazoa, Chordata, Mammalia, Carnivora, Ursidae. The record is from Ensembl.
GUGCUUGCUUCGGCAGCACAUAUGCUAAAAAAUCGGAAUGAUACAGAAAAGAUUAGCGUGGACCCUGCACAAGGAUGACACCCAACAAGAUGUCUAUUUAGAAAUGGUU